RNAcentral lists this non-coding RNA (28 nucleotides) under Cricetulus griseus (Chinese hamster). Lineage: Eukaryota; Metazoa; Chordata; Mammalia; Rodentia; Cricetidae. RNAcentral also lists the same sequence under 1 other name. The record is from RNAcentral.
AGGGCUGUAGAGAUGGCUCAGUGGUUAA